RNAcentral lists this ribosomal RNA (424 nucleotides) under Pelidnoptera nigripennis. RNAcentral's name for it is "partial 16S ribosomal RNA". Lineage: Eukaryota; Metazoa; Arthropoda; Insecta; Diptera; Sciomyzidae. The record is from RNAcentral.
CGCCUGUUUAACAAAAACAUGUCUUUUUGAAAUAUAUUUAAAGUCUAACCUGCCCACUGAGUUUUAAAUGGCCGCAGUAUACUAACUGUGCAAAGGUAGCAUAGUCAUUAGUCUUUUAAUUGAAGGCUGGUAUGAAUGGUUGGACGAAAUAUUAGCUGUUUCAUUUGAAUUUAUAUUAGAAUUUUAUUUUUUAGUUAAAAAGCUAAGAUUUUUUUAAAAGACGAGAAGACCCUAUAAAUCUUUAUAUUUUAUUUAUUUUAUUUUUAAAGAUUGUUUUAAUUAUAAUAAAUUAAAAUAUUUUAUUGGGGUGAUAUUAAAAUUUAAGGAACUUUUAAUUAUUAAAAACAUUAAUUUAUGAAAAAUUGAUCCGUUAUUAACGAUUAUAAUAUUUAAGUCACUUUACGGAUAACAGCGUAAUUUUCUU